AUUGAACGCUGGCGGCAGGCCUAACACAUGCAAGUCGAACGAGUGGCGGACGGGUGAGUAAUGUCUGGGAAACUGCCCGAUGGAGGGGGAUAACUACUGGAAACGGUAGCUAAUACCGCAUACCAUCGGAUGUGCCACGAUGGGCUUAGCUAGUAGGUGGGGUACCGGCUCACCUAGGCGAAGAUCCCUAGCUGGUCUGUGAGGAGGACCAGCAACGCUGGAACUGUAGCAAGGUCCAGACUCCGACGGGAGGAAGACGUGGGGAAUAUGGCACAAUGGGCGCAAGCCUGAUGCAGCCAUGCCGGGUGUAUGAAGAGGGCUUUCGGGUGGUAAAGUACUUUCAGCGAGGAGGCGUUACUCGCAGAAGAAGCACCGGGUAACUCCGUGCCAGCAGCCGCGGUAAUUC
This 406-nucleotide ribosomal RNA is filed under the name uncultured bacterium. RNAcentral describes it as "partial 16S ribosomal RNA". It matches the Rfam family "Bacterial small subunit ribosomal RNA", at positions 30 to 526 of the family's 1533-position model. The record is from RNAcentral.